GCGGUACGCGAGCUGGGUUCAGAACGUCGUGAGACAGUUCGGUCCCUAUCCGUCGUGGGCGUAGGAAAUUUGAGAGGCGCUGUCCUUAGUACGAGAGGACCGGGAUGGACAUACCUCUGGUGUACCAGUUGUCGUGCCAACGGCAUAGCUGGGUAGCUAUGUAUGGACGGGAUAAGUGCUGAAAGCAUCUAAGCAUGAAGCCCCCCUCAAGAUGAGAUUUCCCAACUUCGGUUAUAAGAUCCCUCAAAGAUGAUGAGGUUAAUAGGUUCGAGGUGGAAGCGUAGCGAUACGUGGAGCUGACGAAUACUAAUCGAUCGAAGACUUAAUCAA
RNAcentral lists this non-coding RNA (330 nucleotides) under Staphylococcus chromogenes MU 970. RNAcentral describes it as "bacterial LSU rRNA". It matches the Rfam family "Bacterial large subunit ribosomal RNA", at positions 2593 to 2925 of the family's 2925-position model. The record is from RNAcentral. Lineage: Bacteria; Bacillati; Bacillota; Bacilli; Caryophanales; Staphylococcaceae.